GGAGGGAUGGCCGAGCGGCUUAAGGCGCACGCCUGGAAAGCGUGUUUACCGAAAGGUAUCGCGGGUUCGAAUCCCGCUCCCUCCGCCA
This 88-nucleotide transfer RNA is filed under the name Rhodospirillaceae bacterium. Its description in RNAcentral is "tRNA-Ser". It matches the Rfam family "tRNA". Rfam says of the family: Transfer RNA (tRNA) molecules are approximately 80 nucleotides in length. Their secondary structure includes four short double-helical elements and three loops (D, anti-codon, and T loops). Further hydrogen bonds mediate the characteristic L-shaped molecular structure. tRNAs have two regions of fundamental functional importance: the anti-codon, which is responsible for specific mRNA codon recognition, and the 3' end, to which the tRNAs corresponding amino acid is attached (by aminoacyl-tRNA synthetases). tRNAs cope with the degeneracy of the genetic code in two manners: having more than one tRNA (with a specific anti-codon) for a particular amino acid; and 'wobble' base-pairing, i.e. permitting non-standard base-pairing at the 3rd anti-codon position. The record is from RNAcentral. Lineage: Bacteria; Pseudomonadati; Pseudomonadota; Alphaproteobacteria; Rhodospirillales; Rhodospirillaceae.